Molecule: long non-coding RNA, 1295 nt
Organism: Rosa rugosa (rugosa rose)
Lineage: Eukaryota; Viridiplantae; Streptophyta; Magnoliopsida; Rosales; Rosaceae
Exons: 4
Source: RefSeq, a predicted model, not a curated record
UUCAUGGUCGGUAUCCUUUUUCUGAUAUAGAGUUUAAAUGUUGAAGUAGAGAACAGUCAUUGGUUAUGAGUUGAUCUCUGAGUAGAUCAUCCACAUGGAUGAGUUCUUUAGUUAUUUGUACUAGUCACUUAUGAAAAAUCAAAAGUUUCUUAACAUUUCUAUGUAGUCAUUUUUUAAGGAAUAGGAACAAAUGACUGGCAAUGGUGAGGUGUGGUGGAGAUUAAUUUGAUGAACAAUAGGUCUUAUUUUACUCUUUGUUGGAUUUUUAAUCUAUUUUAGACUUUCAAGGAAGCCCCAGACGGUUUGUAGAGGUAUUGUCUUGCUCCCAACCACAGAAUUUGUAGUUUCACUUUUGAGAUCCUAAAUAUGUGUGACUAUUUAAGCAUGCAAGACAUUCAAAAAUUGGAGACUUGGUUGAUUAUGAUGCAGUUCAUAUAUCCCUAUUGACUACAAAAACAAGCAUCAGAGUACUUGGUUGUUCAAACUUCAAACAGGUAUGGUGAGCAAUGCAAGGAUACUCCUCCAGCCCAGGAACCCAUGAGUACUUCUAUUAGGACGGAAGAAGUGCUAGCUGGCCCUACUUGGCUACGAAUCUUAUGGUAUACACCAUAAAUGUUAAGUUUCGUAACAAUUGCUGUAUAUUUCAAGCAAGAUUAUAAAAGGCUACCUUAAGGCACGCUUUCUGCCUAGGCGUAGGCUUAAAUGCAGCGAUUGCUCUGGUAAAAUCAUGCAGGCGCAAAAAGUGCACAGUAGGAGGGAAAAGCUUAAGCCUCAGGAGCUUAGUUGAUAAGUCCUUUCACGUUUUGGAUUGCUCCAGUGUUCAUGGGAUUUACAUGGAAAUGUUCCCUAUAAAAUAUUCUUUAGAAGCUGCUAUUCAAGCACAGGAUUGUGAACUCUAAUCCCAACUAAGACCCAGGCUUAAAGGUCUUGUGUGCAUGCUUGAUGAUUGUCUAAACGGCGGAAGUUUCACAACAGUAAGAAUGUGACAGACGGAGACAAACAGGCCCGGUACAAUAUAUAUCACCGACAUUCCAAAUUCAAGGAUUUCAGGCAUACUUGGGACCUUUUCAGCCUUUCAAGUAUAUUUGCUUCUUGUCUGGUUUCGUAGAUGGCCAUGGGACAGGUUUCCUUUCCAAUCUCAGAUUACAAUCUUGUGAUGGAGUACUGUGUCCGUUGGAUGCCAAACGUCCUUGAGACUAUACCUAGUGCAUUUAAUGGUAGGUUACUGUACAGAUGGGAACACUCUAUGGCAUGUAAACAUCUCUUUCUGGAAUCGUAAGUUUUAUUUUCCAAUA